This 305-nucleotide ribosomal RNA is filed under the name uncultured bacterium. RNAcentral's name for it is "bacterial SSU rRNA". It matches the Rfam family "Bacterial small subunit ribosomal RNA", at positions 333 to 630 of the family's 1533-position model. The record is from RNAcentral.
UAUCUCCUACGGGACGCAGCAGUAGGGAAUCUUCCACAAUGGACGAAAGUCUGAUGGAGCAACGCCGCGUGAGUGAAGAAGGGUUUCGGAUCGUAAAACCCUGUUGUUAGAGAAGAAAGUGCGUGAGAGUAACUGUUCACGUUUCGACGGUAUCUAACCAGAAAGCCACGGCUAACUACGUGCCAGCAGCCGCGGUAAUACGUAGGUGGCAAGCGUUAUCCGGAUUUAUUGGGCGUAAAGGGAACGCAGGCGGUCUUUUAAGUCUGAUGUGAAAGCCUUCGGCUUAACCGGAGUAGUGCAUUGGA